Molecule: unclassified non-coding RNA, 452 nt
Filed under: Pseudosamanea guachapele
Lineage: Eukaryota; Viridiplantae; Streptophyta; Magnoliopsida; Fabales; Fabaceae
Description: external transcribed spacer
Source: RNAcentral
GAGACAAGCAUAUGACUACUGGCAGGAUCAACCAGGUAGCAUUCCUCCAGGACGUCCGCGCGCCGCCCUUGCACCGCCGGGGCGAUCAAGGGGCGAGAGCGGCCGUCUCACACUAUACACACAUAUCGGGGCUCCUCUUAGGACUGGGACGUGAGUCCCCGUCCGCGGCGUGCGCUGGGUCCAAGAGCGUUGCACUCCCCCCGCGCGCCACGCGACCGGUGAAGGCUCUGGUGGAACACGGGGGGCGCUUCAUUGUCCUCCCGCGCCGAUUAGAAGGCGCCGGACGGAGGCUAACUGCAUGUGGCCUGCUUCCCCCCGGGGGGUAGGCAGCACAAGCCAGCCCCGGAGGCACCAUCAUAUCCCACCUCGCACCGACCCACGCGGAUCGCCUGCCGACCGUUCGGUGGACGAGCACGGAGCCGGCCGGCAGUCACAAUCCAAACCCCCCCCCC